Molecule: long non-coding RNA, 2588 nt
Organism: Astatotilapia calliptera (eastern happy)
Lineage: Eukaryota; Metazoa; Chordata; Actinopteri; Cichliformes; Cichlidae
Source: Ensembl
CUAAGGUUCAUAUUAAACAUGGCCACAGUUUCAAACGAUGGUGUCAGUGUAUGUUCCAGUAAUCCCAGUGAAACGACUGCUCAGGCUGCGGCACUUUUUUCUAGUCUUGGCUCUGUAUGACGCAGCAGCCCGUCCACCAUGUGCCAAACCUGCUUGUUAUGGGCUGAUCCAGUGAAAGCUAGCUUACAGAAGCAGCUAAUGUUUAUAUAAUAAAGAUUACAGCGGGUUUUGUUGGAUUUGUAGUGCACAUAUGUAACAUUUUUGCACUCAUGUUAUAAGGCCCUCACUAUGUGCCUGUGAUUCUGUUCAUGUGGACGUAGCGUUUUCAGUGGGAAAAACGUCACUGACAGAUGAACCCUUAGGCCCCUCCUCCAUUCAGAGAUGGUCUUUCCCUUUUCACGUAAAUGGCCUCCUUGACUCCGCCCUCAAACCAGCGUUCCUCCCUGUCCAGGAUGUUACAUCCUCAUCAUUGAAAGAGUGUCCACUGGCCUGUAGGUGUGAAUAGACUGCAGAGUCCUGGCCUCAUGAAGUGGCUCUUCCGUGUUGUGUCAUCCGCUUCGCCAGAGGUUGAUUGGUUUCCCCGAUGUAUAAAACCUGCCUGUGACACUAACUUUAACUGUGUUAUUUAUUGUAGGCUGUAUUCUCCCAGUGAUGAACAGAAUCAACGUUCUCGGACUAUUUUUCUUCUGUAUCCUGCAGCUCACCUGGUCGUCCACCCGCCGGCGGCUUCAAGUCAAGCUCGCUCACAGAGACUGCAGCCUUUCUUGCCAUAAAACUGGAUCAGAACCUAAGACUUGAGUCGAAUACAUCAAAAAUUGUUUUGGCUAAAAAAACCAACCCAAACAUUAAAUUUUCAUGCAAAUUGGAAAUGGUCCAUCAGAACAUUUUCUUUGAUUCGCGGUGGAAUGAAACAUCUUUGUCCUUCAUGUACACAAUGUGUAAAACGUAUGUUGGACUAAUCUACCCUCGGAUCUCUCGCUCUCCCCGUCUCCUGCCUUUCAACCUUUUGUGUUCAUUUUCAUUUGGAAAAUCCGAUAAAACCAACAGUCAUCGUUUCCCUUCUUCUAAAACACAUAACUCAGAUUUUGUGAAUUUAAGGCAUUCAUAAACUUGCCUCAUCGGACUCUGAUAAACCUUUUCUUUCGACAGAAAUGCUAAUAAUCAAUCGCUCCACCACUCUCUCCCUCUCAGGGUCUCUCUGCUCCAAACAGUGAUAAAGUCUCCUGCUACUUUCCUUUGAAAUGUUCAGAAAACCAAAUGUUCCUCUUGAAUUCUUCACAGGCUCGCUGACAGACUCCAUGUUUUAAUAAUUCACUUUGUUUCUUUAUCUUCCUCCAGCCUCCAUUUGUUCCUUAUUGUCUUCAUUUUCUGUAUUUGGUGGAGACAGAAAAGACGAAAUGAGAUUUCUUUUCUUUAAAUCUGUCAUUUCCGCCUGUGACACCUCCCUCAACAAACCGCUGAUAAUACAAAAUUAAACCAAAUUAUGAUGCUCAUUCAAAGCUGGUGAGUAACUUGUGUCCUUUGUGGGUUUCUGAUAACACUACUUUACAACAUAUCAAAUAACUAUCUGGAUUAUUUUUCUGUUCAAAGUCAAUACGCUGUAUGACGUUUACAAAAUUGUUCUCCAGCUGGAUCUUGAACAGAAGACGCUGAAUUUUACAGUCAUUCCCAAAAAUCUGUCGCAAUAACGCACAACUCUCAAUGCAGCACCCUGUGCACUAGUGUGGAAUAAUGAAAAUAGCCCAGCAUGUCUGCGGUAUUAUAACUGAUCUAACUGACCACUCAGAGACUGAAAGCCACAUUCAAGUGUUCUAACCAUUCAUGGCCAAUAACUGGGUUUCCUGGGAGGAGCUGGCUGGAAGAUUUCUGCGUCUAUAUUCAGACAAACAUGAGGUUUUUGUACUAGAAGACCACGUUUUCCCUAUAAUGACUUUUCUGCAUUGGCUCCCUGUUAAAUCCAGAUUUGGAUUCAUAAUCCUUCUCCUCACAUGCAAACGCUUUAAUAAUCAGGUCCGGUCAUAACUUAACAUCCAUUACCUCGCUGUUGCACUCCCCUGGAGUAUUUAAAAGUAGAAUGGGAGGGAGAGCCUUCAGUUUUCAGGCCCCUCUUCUGUGGAACCAGCUUCCAGUUUGGAUUCAGGAGACAAACACUAUCUCUACUUUCAAGAUUAGGCUUCAAACUUUCCUUUUUGCUAAAGCAUAUAGUUAGGGCUGGACCAGGUGACCCUGAAUCCUCCCUUAGUUAUGCUGCAAUAGACGUAGGCUGCCGGGGGAUUCCCAUGAUGCAUUGAGUUUUUCCUUUCCAGUCACCAUUCUCACUCACUAUGUAUUAACAGACCUCUCUGCAUUGAAUCAUAUCUGUUAUUAACCUCUGUCUCUCUUCCACAGCAUGUCUUUAUCCUGUCUUCCUUCUCUCACCCCAACCAAUCACAGCAGAUGGCCCCGCCCCUCCCUGAGCCUGGUUCUGCCGGAGGUUUCUUCCUGUCUUCCUAUUUUUAUUACAAAUUAUAUCAGCACACAAACUGAGGAAGGCAAAGAGAGGAGGUGAACCCAACUGGUUUUCCUGGGUCAUGGAGAACAAAUUACAC